This 503-nucleotide ribosomal RNA is filed under the name uncultured bacterium. RNAcentral's name for it is "partial 16S ribosomal RNA". It matches the Rfam family "Bacterial small subunit ribosomal RNA", at positions 30 to 523 of the family's 1533-position model. The record is from RNAcentral.
AUUGAACGCUGGCGGCAGGCUUAACACAUGCAAGUCGAGCGGGGUGAUGGUGCUUGCACUAUCACUUAGCGGCGGACGGGUGAGUAAUGCUUAGGAAUCUGCCUAUUAGUGGGGGACAGCGUCUCGAAAGGGAUGCUAAUACCGCAUACGUCCUACGGGAGAAAGCAGGGGAUCACUUGUGACCUUGCGCUAAUAGAUGAGCCUAAGUCGGAUUAGCUAGUUGGUGGGGUAAAGGCCUACCAAGGCGACGAUCUGUAGCGGGUCUGAGAGGAUGAUCCGCCACACUGGGACUGAGACACGGCCCAGACUCCUACGGGAGGCGGCAGUGGGGAAUAUUGGACAAUGGGGGGAACCCUGAUCUAGCCAUGCCGCGUGUGUGAAGAAGGCCUUAUGGUUGUAAAGCACUUUAAGCGAGGAGGAGGCUCUUCUGGUUAAUACCCAAGAUGAGUGGACGUUACUCGCAGAAUAAGCACCGGCUAACUCUGUGCCAGCCGCCGCAGUAA